GGCGAACGCUGGCGGCGUGCUUAACACAUGCAAGUCAUACGGUAAGGCCCUUUCGGGGGUACACGAGUGGCGAACGGGUGAGUAACACGUGAGUAACCUGCCCACAACUUUGGGAUAACGCUAGGAAACUGGUGCUAAUACUGGAUAUGUGCUCCUGCUGCAUGGUGGGGGUUGGAAAGCUCCGGCGGUUGUGGAUGGACUCGCGGCCUAUCAGCUUGUUGGUGGGGUAGUGGCCUACCAAGGCGGCGACGGGUAGCCGGCCUGAGAGGGUGACCGGCCACAUUGGGACUGAGAUACGGCCCAGACUCCUACGGGAGGCAGCAGUGGGGAAUAUUGCACAAUGGGCGCAAGCCUGAUGCAGCAACGCCGCGUGCGGGAUGACGGCCUUCGGGUUGUAAACCGCUUUCAGCAGGGACGAAGCUUUUUGUGACGGUACCUGCAGAAGAAGCACCGGCUAACUACGUG
RNAcentral lists this ribosomal RNA (465 nucleotides) under uncultured bacterium. RNAcentral describes it as "partial 16S ribosomal RNA". It matches the Rfam family "Bacterial small subunit ribosomal RNA", at positions 28 to 507 of the family's 1533-position model. The record is from RNAcentral.